AUUGAACGCUGGCGGCAGGCCUAACACAUGCAAGUCGAGCGGUUGAGGUAGCUUGCUACCGAUGCAGCGGCGAACGGGUGAGUAAUACAUGGGAAUCUGCCUGGUAGUGGGGGACAACGUUUCGAAAGGAACGCUAAUACCGCAUACGCCCUACGGGGGAAAGGGGGGAUCGCAAGACCUCUCGCUAUCAGAUGAGCCCA
Molecule: ribosomal RNA, 200 nt
Filed under: uncultured bacterium
Lineage: Bacteria
Description: partial 16S ribosomal RNA
Rfam family: Bacterial small subunit ribosomal RNA
Source: RNAcentral